This 254-nucleotide ribosomal RNA is filed under the name uncultured bacterium. RNAcentral describes it as "partial 16S ribosomal RNA". It matches the Rfam family "Bacterial small subunit ribosomal RNA", at positions 524 to 776 of the family's 1533-position model. The record is from RNAcentral.
UACGUAGGGCGCAAGCGUUGUCCGGAAUUAUUGGGCGUAAAGAGCUCGUAGGCGGUCUGUCGCGUCGAUCGUGAAAACUCGGGGCUCAACCCCGAGCCUGCAGUCGAUACGGGCAGGCUAGAGUUCGGUAGGGGGAGACUGGAAUUCCUGGUGUAGCGGUGAAAUGCGCAGAUAUCAGGAGGAACACCGAUGGCGAAGGCAGAUCUCUGGGCCGUAACUGACGCUGAGGAGCGAAAGCGUGGGGAGCGAACAGG